ACAGUCGAGCGGACAGAAGGGAGCUUGCUCCCGGAUGUUAGCGGCGGACGGGUGAGUAACACGUGGGUAACCUGCCUGUAAGACUGGGAUAACUCCGGGAAACCGGAGCUAAUACCGGAUAGUUCCUUGAACCGCAUGGUUCAAGGAUGAAAGACGGUUUCGGCUGUCACUUACAGAUGGACCCGCGGCGCAUUAGCUAGUUGGUGGGGUAAUGGCUCACCAAGGCGACGAUGCGUAGCCGACCUGAGAGGGUGAUCGGCCACACUGGGACUGAGACACGGCCCAGACUCCUACGGGAGGCAGCAGUAGGGAAUCUUCCGCAAUGGACGAAAGUCUGACGGAGCAACGCCGCGUGAGUGAUGAAGGUUUUCGGAUCGUAAAGCUCUGUUGUUAGGGAAGAACAAGUGCGAGAGUAACUGCUCGCACCUUGACGGUACCUAACCAGAAAGCCACGGCUAACUACGUGCCAGCAGCCGCGGUAAUACGUAGGUGGCAAGCGUUGUCCGGAAUUAUUGGGCGUAAAGGGCUCGCAGGCGGUUUCUUAAGUCUGAUGUGAUAGCCCCCGGCUCAACCGGGCGACGGUCAGUUGGAAACUGGGA
Molecule: ribosomal RNA, 599 nt
Filed under: Bacillus sp. (in: firmicutes)
Lineage: Bacteria; Bacillati; Bacillota; Bacilli; Caryophanales; Bacillaceae
Description: bacterial SSU rRNA
Rfam family: Bacterial small subunit ribosomal RNA
Source: RNAcentral